This is a non-coding RNA of Chelonoidis abingdonii (Abingdon island giant tortoise), 204 nucleotides long. NCBI's taxonomy places the organism in Eukaryota, Metazoa, Chordata, Testudines, Testudinidae. The record is from RefSeq and is a predicted model, not a curated record.
CAUAGCUCUUCCUUUCACACUGAACAAGAACACUACCACAACACCACAUUACUGCUAUGAUACAAGUUUCUAAGCCUCUUCCCUGAAGAAAAGUAUUUGGGGCUGGAUGGAGUAACACAGCUGGUGAAGUGGGAGCUUUUAAUCAGCACAAGAACCACUUCUGAGGCUUCAAAGAAGGUAGUGCUUCCAGCACAGCCAACAGAA